AAUGUAUAGCAAUAGCUACUUGCAUCAUUGUAAAUAUGAUGCAAGAUCGACUAUGUCGAAUAAAAUUCUAGGUAGAAUUAUGAUAAUGACAUUGUCUGCCUAUGUGUCUUGACCAAAUUACGUGCCAGCAGUCGCGGUAAUACGUAGAAGACUAGUGUUAUUCAUGUUUAAUCGGUUUAAAGGGUACCUAGACGGUAAAUCAAGCCUAAAAGGAAAGAAAUGAAGGGACUAAUUUACUAGAGUUACUUAUGAGGGGGUAUUAAAGUACUGCUGGUGUAGAGAUGAAAUUCUGUCAUACCUCUUUUCAAUAGAAAAAUAAUGGCACAGGUAUAGGCGAAAGCAUCCCCUUAUGUGAUAACUGACGUUGAGGGACGAAGGCUUUGUGUAGCGAACAGGAUUAGAUACCCCAGUAGUCAAAGCAGAAAAUGAUGAAUGUCAUAGAUUAGAUAUAUAAGUUUAUUCUAUAAAUGAAAGUGUAAGCAUUCCACCUCAAGAGUAAUUUGGCAACAUUGGAACUGAAAUCAUUAGACCGUUUCUGAAACCAGUAGUGAAGUAUGUUGUUUAAUUUGAUGAUCCGCAAAAAACCUUACCACAAUUUGAAUAUUUAUAUCUUAUAUUGUUUUUUUUUUAACUUUAUUCUAAUUUUCUACUUAAAAGAAAACAAUAACAAGAAAAAAGAGACAAGAAGAUAUAUUUACAAGCGUUGCACGGCUGUCUUCAGUUAAUGUCGCGAGACUAUGGUUAGUUCCAUUAAAUUAACGUAAACCCUUACUUUAUUUUUAUAUAGAGUAGUUCCCCGCUAUAUUGGAUAUGAUAACAGG
Molecule: ribosomal RNA, 821 nt
Filed under: Cetraria islandica
Lineage: Eukaryota; Fungi; Ascomycota; Lecanoromycetes; Lecanorales; Parmeliaceae
Description: SSU rRNA
Rfam family: Bacterial small subunit ribosomal RNA
Source: RNAcentral